UGCCACCCCAGUUUUGGGAUGAGUGAAUGAGUUGAAAAUUCUUGGGUUUUGUUUUUGUUGUUUCUGUUUUUGUUUUCGUUCUUUUUUUUUUUAAAGAUAGUUGGUUUUUAAUGUCAACAUAGUGUUUUUUUAUGAAUAUUGUUACAAAGUUAAGGCUUAGGUAGGUUGCUAGUUAAGACCUGCUAAAGGAACUGAUAGAUUAUUUGUAUUAAGACAGGUUUGUUAGAUCGGGUUACAGGAUGCAGUGGAGGUGGUCCAGCGGCUGGUUUUCUACAUUGAGAGCCCAAGGAAGUUGGCUCUAGUAUCUGCGGAAGAUGCUGCUGGAACAGGAUAGCUGUACCUGCCAGCAAGUGUGAGGGGAAACAGGCAAACAGCAGUGCUCCCUUCUUCCUUGUCCUUGUAUCUGGGCUGGCAGGUUUGGCCACUUUAGGGUAGCUUUUCCACUUCAAAUAAUCUGGUUAAGCAAAUCCCCUCACCGCAGUGGGCAGAGCCAUUGCAGUAGGCUUCCAGCACAGAACUUUUUUUUAAAUUUUUUUUUGAUAUUUGUUUUCCCAUAGAUUUUAUCAUUGAAGAUUAAUAGCUAGGAUUAUGUUGAGAUUAAUGGUUUUGUGGGAUGAGGGAAGCAAGACAGGAAACAGGCCUUGAGGUCAUAUGUAAAGAUAUGCUUCUGCGUUCUCUGGGAAGAGAAUUUUCUGCAGACAGACUGAGAAACAGCUUAGCUGUCCUGACUUCGCAGGUCCUGUCUUCACCGGAAGAUACUGGUAUAAAAAUGAUGGGAAUCAGGGUUAAGUUGUAGACGUGUAGGCUGGUGACAUCAGUUAAUUGGUGGGACUAGUUGUGUCUGGAAGACUAAAAUGCUAAAGCUAAGUCUGCCAUACCAUAUGAGGUUGAUGCCUUUGGGAUACAAAUUUUAGAGUGUAGUUGAAACUUAAAGCAAUAAAUGUAAUGGGGUAGUACAUAUUUUCAGAUAUAGUUCCUUUUGCACUUAAAUUUCAUACUUUUUGGUUGACAUGUACUUACUAUAAUGAGAUACACUCUGAAUUCUAAGGAGAUUUGGUAGUGGCCUUGGGUAUAAAACAGAUCUUACACAUUUUAAUAUUGGCUUGAAGUUGAAUCUAGAAAUCUCAUGUUACAGGACUGAAAUUGAAUUGAUUUUUAUAAAUGAUAGAAAUGUAAUUUUUUUCUGGUUAUAAGAUUGCAGUCCUCAUUGUAGAUAAAUUUUAUGGAAAUUCAGAAAGGUUAAGGUAGUGACAGUUACCUGCCCUGUUAGUGUCCUGAGGUGUCACCCAGCUUUUUCCCGUGUCUUUGUGUUCCUUUGCUUCUGCGGAUACCUGUGCUGUCCCUUGCUUCUGGCCCCUCGGCUGGGGGAGCAUCCUCCCCCUGUUUGGUAGCUGACCUCUCACCCCCGGGCUGUGUCUAAGGACUCAGUCCUCUUCUGCGGUCUGCACUGUUCCUCCCUGGUUGGCGUGCGCCAGAAAGACAAGACUUAGUGUCCUCACCUCAAGAGCCGGUGAUGGCAAUCUGACAGGACUGCCUGCGGUAAGAGGAAAUGGGCUCUGAGUUUCUCAGCACAGUUCUGGCAGACAGUAAAGGCUUGUUAAAAGUUCCACUAACGUUCUGUUAAGCUGCACCAUGGUUGUGUUUAGUGACGGUUUCUUGUGCUAUUAUGGUAAGCAUUCCAGGGCACAGCCAUGAGCCUGGCCUGUCAGAGAGGAUAAUCAAGAAAACCUCAAAAUUCAAGGUCAAGCUAUCCAAACUGCUAUUUUUAUUACAAUCAUAAUCCUGGGUGGAAAUCCUGGGCAUUUCCAUGUGGUUUAAUGGUGUAGUGACAACCCAAAACAUGAAAUUCUGUCUUCCAUUAUUGCCUAUCCACCCGUUUCUAAGUGGGGCAAAGUCCUUUUAUGUAAGGAAAAUGGGGGGACCUAGAACAGCUUCAAGGGCAUAAAGAGAAGCCCAUUUAGGGUGUGACCAUUGGAACUGUUUAGUUUAGCAUAAGGGUUUUAUUUUAAAUGGUUCAUCAUUAGAAAGCCAAAACAUAUAAAAUACUAACAAAGAAUUUGAAUAUUUUAUAGUGGGCAAGAACAGUUUCCUGUCCCAGUUCAUGUCACUUGAGGAUCUGCAGAAGGAAUUUCGGACAGGAGAACCUCAGGGAGGGGCGGCCCCUAUUUGACUUUGCUUCUCCUAGGGAGGGACAUGAUCAAUGGAAAGAGAAUUGUAGCAGCAAGUUUGUCAGCUCAGUGAGUAUGGUGCUGUAGCAAGCCUCUGCUUGGAAGGCAUGGACAGUACCUGCUUUAGAGUGUUAAUGUGGGAUAACUUUUUUGUUUGUUUUGUUUUGUUUUGUUUUUUGUUUGUUUGUUUUCGAGACAGGUUUUCUCUGUAGCCCUGACUGUCCUGGAACUCACUUUGUGAUAACUUUGAAGACAGGACGUAUCCUAGUGUUUCCCAUCACUAAUUCACUGUCUUUCCUUUUCUUGUUAACGGUCAGCAAAGAUGUACUGCCCUCGAAUUAUUUGUGACAUGUCACAUUUAACAAACACUGAUGUUUGAACACACUGUAUUUUAAGAUACAAAUGUUGAUGUUUGUACUUCAAAAAUAGUGACACAUUAAAAUUGCAGGUCACGUAAUACUUUCCAAUAUUUAUAAUGUCCCCUUAAUAACCAAAUUUAACAAUGCUUUUACAUUUUGUUUCUCGUGGCUUCACACAAGGUUUACACAGCCCUUUACAGUCUCCAGUUCAGUUCAGUGUCUCUUAGUGCUUUUGCAGAGCUGUGUAAACUAUGGUCACACUAGAUAUUAGAGUUUUCUAGUCCCUCCUAAGACAGUGCUUCCCAACUUUCCUCAUGCUGUGACCCUUUAAUAUAGUUCCUCAUGCUGUGAUGACCCCAACCAUAAAAUUAUUUUGUUACCACUUUACAACUAGUUUUGCUACUGUUAUAAAUUCUAAUAGAAAUAUAUGAUAUAUAGGCUAUUUGAUAUGCAACCCCUGUGAAAGGGUCAUUUAACCCCUGAAGGGGUUGUGACCCAAAGGUUGAGAACCACUGCCCUAAGAGAUCUUCAUCCUCAUUUCCCUUAAGUCCCUUGACCAUUCCCAGGCUGCCAUCUGCUCCCCUGCUCCCCGCAAUGUAGUUGUCUAUGUGAGCAGAGACCAAGGCACUGGGUAUCCAGAUCUAACACUCUGCCUUGAGUCGCUGAACCCAUUGCUCAGCUAGGCUGGCCGGCUGGUGAGCUGGAAACGGCUUGUCUCCACCCCUGCGUUGCUAGGAUUGCAAGACAUGCACAGCCAUGUCUACAUUUUUAUGUGGGUGUUGGAGAUUCCAGUUUUGAUCCUCAGGCUUUCGUGGCAAGUGAUCUCAUCUCCCUAGCCGUUGUUUUGUCUGUUUUUGAUUAAUUUAUCUUGAACUGUACAAGCGUGGCCUUUGGUGCCGAGGUUUAAGACAUUGGUUGAUACUGAAGUAUUUUGGCUGCUUUUCCUGAUUCUUACCCAUCCCUCUUUCCCGCCUCCCUUUUUUUUUUUGUUUGUUUGUUCUGUUUUUAAAGCAAUGAUGUGCAUGCAACCUAGUGAGCUGUAGCCCCAGUACUUUUUCUGUCCAGUAAUGCCCACUGGGUAGCUUUGGUGCAGUUUGUUCCCUGCUAUGCACCCAUGCAUGGGCACUGAGGUAAUGUCUGCUUUGAAGCUAUUACACUGUGGACUUCUGGGUGCUGGCUUGUGUGCGGGUAUACGUCUUUACUUCUCUUGGGCACUACCUACCUUGGAGCAGGAUAACUAAACUGUACAGUCUCUAUAUUGAGCCUUUUGGGGAACUGUUUCUUUUUAAGUGACUCCACUGUCCUUCGAUCCUGUCAGUCUCAGUUUCUCCUCACCCUUGCCAACAAACAUUUCACUGUGGCAUCUUCGCCACGCGUGUGAGGUGGCAGUUCCUUAUUCUUUUUCUCUUGGCUAAUGAUGUUGAACAUCUCUUCAUUUACCAAGUGCAAAUCUUAUCUGGAAAAAAUAUUUACUCAGCCCCUUUGCCAGUUGCUUUGAUUGGAUUGUCGUUACUAUUAGUGAGUCUGGAAAGCCUGUGUAUGUUCUGGACACAGGGUCCCUACCAGAUAGUUUACUAGAUAAGCUGCCUCCUUCACUGCUAUAAGAAGGCACAGUGUCUGGACUGGAGAGAUGGCUGAGCCCCAAAGGGACAUGACAGUGCAGUGCUCCUGGAGAGUCAGUAUUUGGGCAGUUUCAAUAAUUAAAUUGCUACUUCAGAAACUGGCCAUGGAAGAUAUUUAUUGAUAUUAAUUUACCAAGUUGAAAAUUUAUCAACACUUGGAAAGCUGGGUUUCUGUCUUUUGUUGUGGUUGUAAUUAUUUAUGUCAUGCUGAAAAUUAUCUGUGAGUAAAAUCUUGUUUGAAAUUUAACUGUACACAGAGUUUGUAGUAUAGGAGAGUUAAAUAUUUAAACCUCUGUGACUUCACUCAGUGCAAUACAAAUGCUUUAAAAUCUUCCCAUUUGUGUGUGUGUGUGUGUGUGUGUGUGUGUGUGUGUGAGACUAUGAUGUACAUGUAGAGAUCAUAUCACAACUUGGAAGUUGAUCCUCUCUUUCCACCAUCUGGAUUCGAACUCAGAUUGUCAAGCUUGGUGGCAAGCACCUUUCCCUAGGGAGGCAUUCCAGCAGUCAUGAGCGUAAUAAAAAAUAUUUAUUGGUAGUAUUCUAGUUGAACUUGGUUAAAAUUUUAAAAUAUUAUCUUCCUUGAUUUUUAAAAAUUGUAGAACUCUGCUCUUCACAUGCAGUGGUAUAGUUGAUAUAAAUCCCCAAAUGAUUACUGCUUUAAAGUGGAGACAGUCCAGAAUGAAACCAUAUAUGUUCUUGUGAGCUUAUGGUCAUGAAUAAUUACGUGUCUUUUGUCAAAAACAAAACCAAGCAAACAAAAAACCUGUUAAACUUUAGUAUUUUUAACUCUUGAUUUAUGAAUUAAUAUAACAAUUUUACAUAUGCCCUUAAUUAAGUUCCCACCAGGAAGGGCUUUCAAAAGAGGGAAAGUAUAUGAGUUUUAUUCUGUCUGGAUGGGCAUGGAAGUUUGCUUUCAAAUAUAAAACAGUCCCAAGAAUUUAUAUGUAAAAUAGAAACAAAUAGCUCGGACUCUACAGCGAGCUGUAGAUCGGGGAGUCUCUGUUCUGGGAACCGAGCAUUUUAGCCCUGUUCAAUCUCUGUUGUAGUGACUGCACUUCUCCUCACUGGCUGCGGCAGCACCUCCUCCCGAGCAGUACCACAGCCAAAACAUGUCCCCAGACAUCACUGUGAGCCACCUGGGACCCCGGCUGCCCUUACGCAAAAGCUGCUGCUGGGGAGGGGUCCUCAAGUGGACCGUUGUCAUAUGUACACUACAGGUUAAGUUUCCACAGGAAUAAAAUGAACCAGCUCCGACAUUUGUCUCCUCUUCUUUGGGACAUCAUUAAGUCCAAGCCGUAAAUAUUGAGGAGGCCAGAAAGGAGUGGGGAGAAAAAGCAGGUAUGAGAAUAAUUAAAAUUCACCUGGGUAUGCAGUCACCAGCCCAGCACUGAGACUGUAGUAGGUGUGUGUGUGUGUGUGUGUGUGUGUGUGCGCGCAUGUGUGCACACAUCAGGUACUUAAAUGCAGGCGCUUGAAUACCUGAGUGGGGCUCUUGUGUGGGUACUUUUUAUUUGUUCAGACUGCAAAGAUUUUGAGCUCUCUGCUUUGUUCAAUAUGAAAGUAGAUUAGGUUUCUUUGAAAUUAGCGUCUUUUGAAAGCUUCCUGUAAGUGGCCAGAAUGUACAGAUUGUUCCCACGCUGUCCAGAGACCAUGUCAGACUACUUAAGAGGCGAUUGCAUAAAGGAGUCAGUCACUAGCUGUGGUGGUAAGCGCCCUCCCUGGAUUUGUUAAUUUUUGUUGCUGCUGUUCAUUUACUUUUAAUGGCUUGUAUACUACUUUAUAGCAAAAUGUUUUUGUUUUUUGUUUUUGUUUUUGUUUUUGUUUUUGUUUUUGGAGACAAGGUUUCUCUGUGUAGCCCUGGCUGUCCUGGAACUCACUUUGUAGACCAGGCUGGCCUCGAACUCAGAAAUCCGCCUGCCUCUGCCUCCCAAGUGCUGGGACUAAAGGCGUGCAACACCAAGCCCAGCUUUUUUUUUUUUUUUUUCUACUUUCAGAGUGGUAUCCUUGGGGGCUUCUCUGUGCAUCUCACACAUUCUUUAUCCUCUACCCCAUCUCCCCAAAAUGUUCCAGUUGAAAGUGAUGAGGCUCCUACAGAUGACUGGAGAGCAGUGUCCUGGUGUUUGGUUUGGUUUGGUAGUGCUCGGGGCUCAUGGUCAGCAUUCCACAGUUACAGAAAUGGAAAAGGCCCAGGGAGGAAAAGACUCUGGUUCCCUGAAGAAUGCAGGAGUGCUCGCUUCCAGCUGGCUUAGUGCUCUGUCAUCCACUGAGUCGUCCUAUUGAAAAGUGUGAAUGUUCCUUCUGAGCAGCUCAUCUGAUCAUUUCAGAGAAGAGUAGAGCCUCUUGGCUGGCACCAUGAGUCUGUCUUUGUCCUCAUGGGUUUUGAGGUGUGUAUGUGUCCUCACUCACUUGUAUGUGGUUGGAUGCACAUGGAGGCAAAUGUGUGGAAACCAGAUGUCUUCCCCCAUUGCUCUUUGCUUUAUUUACCAAGGCAGAGUCCCUGGCUGAACCCAGAGUUCUCUGUUUAUGACUCCUCCGGUUAGCCAGCUUCUGUCCCUCCCUCGAUGCCUGGAGUUAUAAGUGAUUCCCCGACUAUCUGGCUUUUAUGUGAACCCCAUUCCUCAUGCUUGCAAUGGCAAGUGCCUUGGGCACCGAGCCAUCUCCAGCUGCCUUUCCCACUUCCCCCUUCUCUUCUCCACCCUCUUCCCAUCUUUCCUUCUCCUUCUUUCUCAUUCCCCCUUCUCCCUCUUUACAUUGUAAAUUAGAACUUGCUGGAAUCUGGCAGUGUUCUCUUUGUCAGUCUGAGUUGCACUGAAGCCAUGUAAGUUGGACUUGGAGAUGUUUGUCUUCCUUGCAGUUUGGUGUGCACUGCUAACCUAUCCAGAAGUCCAUCUCCAUGGUGGCUUCCCUAUGAGCUGAGCCCUCACCACAGUCGCUUUCACUUCCAACACGCGCAUCUUAGCUCAGCUGGGCCAGCAAGGGAGCCUACUGCUUAUGGGUUCGCUGUUUUACCGAAGCCAGCCAGAUGGGUUUAGAAGGCCUAUCCUUUGAAAGGCAAACUUGAUGAAGGUGAAGGGAGGUAAAGGGCCUAGGAAAGAUGCUGCUCUCUGGAGUGGGGUGGUCAGUAGGCAGGGAUAGGUUAGCCUGGAGCAGCGAAGGUGGCAGCAUUUGGAGUGAGUCAUGCCUGGGGUCCUAGAGGGUGGCAGUGCUGGCACUGGCCAAGGGAACUGGAUAGGGUGUCGUGGUUACAGCCCCAAAGCUGAUGAUUCUGCUGAGAUGUAGACCUCCCUUAGGGUCCUUAGCUGACAACAUAGUGCAUAUAUAGAGCAUAUACAGAGCAUAUACAGAGCAUAUACAGAGCAUGAAAAAGAACAGAAAGUGAAAGGGAUUAGAAGGCUUUCAGAUAGAAGGACUGCUCUGUAGACCUGACUUUUAUAACAGCUUACAAAGACAGGAGUAAAACAAGCACUACUCGGGCUGAAGUAAAAGCUGCACAGAACCGGUUAGAUGAAAAGGAACUGACGUGUCGACCGUCAAGGAGGUCAUUUUAAAUAGCUCCAUGAACGUAAGAAUUCCAUUUUCCAAAAGUUUGAGAGGGCCACCAUUAUUUGCAUUGUUGCUACAGCAUUUCACACAGCUGUAACUAAUUAGGAGAGUGGUGUUGCUGUAGCCCAGCAGGGUUCUGGCAUCGGAUCUCUGCAUUGAUUCCUGUUUGAGUUAACAGUCCUGGCUAGAUGAGCGUCCCACCGCUGAGUUAUGUCCCCAGCUUCUCCUUGUAAGUUUUGUUAUGACAUAUUAGAAUUUAAAAUAAGAAAGGUCAAAGACCAAGCAAAACUUUUAAGAAGGUAGGCUAGACAAGUCAUUUGGUGGCAAAUGACUUUAA
Molecule: long non-coding RNA, 8029 nt
Organism: Mus musculus (house mouse)
Lineage: Eukaryota; Metazoa; Chordata; Mammalia; Rodentia; Muridae
Product: predicted gene, 51891
Exons: 2
Source: RefSeq, a predicted model, not a curated record